RNAcentral lists this ribosomal RNA (428 nucleotides) under uncultured bacterium. RNAcentral describes it as "partial 16S ribosomal RNA". It matches the Rfam family "Bacterial small subunit ribosomal RNA", at positions 354 to 796 of the family's 1533-position model. The record is from RNAcentral.
GUGGGGAAUAUUGGGCAAUGGGCGAAAGCCUGACCCAGCAACGCCGCGUGAGGGAAGAAGGCCUUCGGGUUGUAAACCUCUGUCCUUGGUGACGAAAAAAAUGACGGUAGCCAAGGAGGAAGCCCCGGCUAACUACGUGCCAGCAGCCGCGGUAAUACGUAGGGGGCGAGCGUUGUCCGGAAUUACUGGGCGUAAAGGGUGCGUAGGUGGCCUUUUAAGUUGGAUGUGAAAUACCCGGGCUUAACUUGGGGGGUGCAUCUAAUACUGGAGGGCUAGAGUGCAGGAGAGGGAAGCGGAAUUCCUAGUGUAGCGGUGAAAUGCGUAGAUAUUAGGAGGAACACCAGUGGCGAAGGCGGCUUCCUGGCACAAUACUGACGCUCAUGUGCGAAAGCUAGGGCAGCGAACGGGAUUAGAAACCCGAGUAGUCC